GGCGGCGUGCCUAAUACAUGCAAGUCGAGCGAACGGACGAGAAGCUUGCUUCUCUGAUGUUAGCGGCGGACGGGUGAGUAACACGUGGAUAACCUACCUAUAAGACUGGGAUAACUUCGGGAAACCGGAGCUAAUACCGGAUAAUAUUUUGAACCGCAUGGUUCAAAAGUGAAAGACGGUCUUGCUGUCACUUAUAGAUGGAUCCGCGCUGCAUUAGCUAGUUGGUAAGGUAACGGCUUACCAAGGCAACGAUGCAUAGCCGACCUGAGAGGGUGAUCGGCCACACUGGAACUGAGACACGGUCCAGACUCCUACGGGAGGCAGCAGUAGGGAAUCUUCCGCAAUGGGCGAAAGCCUGACGGAGCAACGCCGCGUGAGUGAUGAAGGUCUUCGGAUCGUAAAACUCUGUUAUUAGGGAAGAACAUAUGUGUAAGUAACUGUGCACAUCUUGACGGUACCUAAUCAGAAAGCCACGGCUAACUACGUGCCAGCAGCCGCGGUAAUACGUAGGUGGCAAGCGUUAUCCGGAAUUAUUGGGCGUAAAGCGCGCGUAGGCGGUUUUUUAAGUCUGAUGUGAAAGCCCACGGCUCAACCGUGGAGGGUCAUUGGAAACUGGAAAACUUGAGUGCAGAAGAGGAAAGUGGAAUUCCAUGUGUAGCGGUGAAAUGCGCAGAGAUAUGGAGGAACACCAGUGGCGAAGGCGACUUUCUGGUCUGUAACUGACGCUGAUGUGCGAAAGCGUGGGGAUCAAACAGGAUUAGAUACCCUGGUAGUCCACGCCGUAAACGAUGAGUGCUAAGUGUUAGGGGGUUUCCGCCCCUUAGUGCUGCAGCUAACGCAUUAAGCACUCCGCCUGGGGAGUACGACCGCAAGGUUGAAACUCAAAGGAAUUGACGGC
This 898-nucleotide ribosomal RNA is filed under the name uncultured bacterium. Its description in RNAcentral is "bacterial SSU rRNA". It matches the Rfam family "Bacterial small subunit ribosomal RNA", at positions 38 to 917 of the family's 1533-position model. The record is from RNAcentral.